This 339-nucleotide long non-coding RNA is filed under the name Homo sapiens (human). RNAcentral describes it as "HSALNT0316282". Lineage: Eukaryota; Metazoa; Chordata; Mammalia; Primates; Hominidae. The record is from RNAcentral.
CUCAAACUGUAAUGUAGAACUGUAAUUUAGGUAUUUGGUUGACACAUAGAAAGACCUUAAAGACUCUUUUACUUAGAAUAGGUAUGUUACUUGGAACACCCAAUCUCAUUGUUCUGUGUUUUAUUUAGAUGAUGAAGAAAUGUACAUCCAAGGAAAAUCAAACCAAGUAAAGGAGGAAAAACUUUGAGUUCUGCUUAAGGUCUAGGACUUCCUAAGGCUCAUUCCAGCUCCUCCAGAUGAAGGCAUUUUCUAAGCAGGAGACAAUUACAAAUGACUGCCUUUUCACUUAACUGUGUCCUCAUAUGGAAGAGAGGAGAAAAGAGGAGAGGAGGGGAGAGG